AUUGAACGCUGGCGGCAGGCCUAACACAUGCAAGUCGAAUGAGUGGCGCACGGGUGAGUAAUGUCUGGGAAACUGCCUGAUGGAGGGGGAUAACUACUGGAAACGGUCGCUAAUACAGCAUUCCAUCGGAUGUGCCCCGAUGGGAUUAGCUAGUAGGUGGGGUAACGGGUCACCUAGGCGAUGAUCCCUAGCUGGUCUGAGAGGAUGACCAGCAACACUGGAACUGAGACACGGUCCAGACUCGUACGGGAGGCAGAAGUGGGGAAUAUUGCACAAAGGGGGCAAGCCUAGGGCAGCCAUGUCGCGUGUAUGAAGGAGGCCUUCGGGUUGUAAAGUACUUUCAGCGGGGAGGCAUUGCCGGCAGAGGAAGCACCAGCAGACUCCGUGCCAGCAGCCGCGGUAAUAC
This 406-nucleotide ribosomal RNA is filed under the name uncultured bacterium. RNAcentral's name for it is "partial 16S ribosomal RNA". It matches the Rfam family "Bacterial small subunit ribosomal RNA", at positions 30 to 526 of the family's 1533-position model. The record is from RNAcentral.